This 1231-nucleotide ribosomal RNA is filed under the name Bacillus paralicheniformis. Its description in RNAcentral is "bacterial SSU rRNA". It matches the Rfam family "Bacterial small subunit ribosomal RNA", at positions 149 to 1366 of the family's 1533-position model. The record is from RNAcentral. Lineage: Bacteria; Bacillati; Bacillota; Bacilli; Caryophanales; Bacillaceae.
CCCGGAAACCGGGGCUAAUACCGGGAUGCUUGAUUGAACCGCAUGGUUCAAUUAUAAAAGGUGGCUUUUAGCUACCACUUACAGAUGGACCCGCGGCGCAUUAGCUAGUUGGUGAGGUAACGGCUCACCAAGGCAACGAUGCGUAGCCGACUGAGAGGGUGAUCGGCCACACUGGGACUGAGACACGGCCCAGACUCUACGGGAGGCAGCAGUAGGGAAUCUUCCGCAAUGGACGAAAGUCUGACGGAGCAACGCCGCGUGAGUGAUGAAGGUUUUCGGAUCGUAAAACUCUGUUGUUAGGGAAGAACAAGUACCGUUCGAAUAGGGCGGUACCUUGACGGUACCUAACCAGAAAGCCACGGCUAACUACGUGCCAGCAGCCGCGGUAAUACGUAGGUGGCAAGCGUUGUCCGGAAUUAUUGGGCGUAAAGCGCGCGCAGGCGGUUUCUUAAGUCUGAUGUGAAAGCCCCCGGCUCAACCGGGGAGGGUCAUUGGAAACUGGGGAACUUGAGUGCAGAAGAGGAGAGUGGAAUUCCACGUGUAGCGGUGAAAUGCGUAGAGAUGUGGAGGAACACCAGUGGCGAAGGCGACUCUCUGGUCUGUAACUGACGCUGAGGCGCGAAAGCGUGGGGAGCGAACAGGAUUAGAUACCCUGGUAGUCCACGCCGUAAACGAUGAGUGCUAAGUGUUAGAGGGUUUCCGCCCUUUAGUGCUGCAGCAAACGCAUUAAGCACUCCGCCUGGGGAGUACGGUCGCAAGACUGAAACUCAAAGGAAUUGACGGGGGCCCGCACAAGCGGUGGAGCAUGUGGUUUAAUUCGAAGCAACGCGAAGAACCUUACCAGGUCUUGACAUCCUCUGACAACCCUAGAGAUAGGGCUUCCCCUUCGGGGGCAGAGUGACAGGUGGUGCAUGGUUGUCGUCAGCUCGUGUCGUGAGAUGUUGGGUUAAGUCCCGCAACGAGCGCAACCCUUGAUCUUAGUUGCCAGCAUUCAGUUGGGCACUCUAAGGUGACUGCCGGUGACAAACCGGAGGAAGGUGGGGAUGACGUCAAAUCAUCAUGCCCCUUAUGACCUGGGCUACACACGUGCUACAAUGGGCAGAACAAAGGGCAGCGAAGCCGCGAGGCUAAGCCAAUCCCACAAAUCUGUUCUCAGUUCGGAUCGCAGUCUGCAACUCGACUGCGUGAAGCUGGAAUCGCUAGUAAUCGCGGAUCAGCAUGCCGCGGUGAA